GACGAACGCUGGCGGCGUGCCUAAUACAUGCGAGUUGAGCGCUGAAGGUUGGUCCUUGUACCAACUGGAUGAGCAGCGAACGGGUGAGUAACGCGUGGGGAAUCUGCCUUUGAGCGGGGGACAACAUUUGGAAACGAAUGCUAAUACCGCAUAAAAACUUUAAACACAAGUUUUAAGUUUGAAAGAUGCAAUUGCAUCACUCAAAGAUGAUCCCGCGUUGUAUUAGCUAGUUGGUGAGGUAAAGGCUCACCAAGGCGAUGAUACAUAGCCGACCUGAGAGGGUGAUCGGCCACAUUGGGACUGAGACACGGCCCAAACUCCUACGGGAGGCAGCAGUAGGGAAUCUUCGGCAAUGGACGAAAGUCUGACCGAGCAACGCCGCGUGAGUGAAGAAGGUUUUCGGAUCGUAAAACUCUGUUGGUAGAGAAGAGCGUUGGUGAGAGUGGAAAGCUCAUCAAGUGACGGUAACUACCCAGAAAGGGACGGCUAACUACGUG
This 497-nucleotide ribosomal RNA is filed under the name uncultured bacterium. Its description in RNAcentral is "partial 16S ribosomal RNA". It matches the Rfam family "Bacterial small subunit ribosomal RNA", at positions 28 to 507 of the family's 1533-position model. The record is from RNAcentral.